CACAAAGGCUUGGUCCUGACUUUGCCAUCAACUUUAACUAAACUUACACAUGCAAGUAUCCGCACCCCUGUGAGAAUGCCCCACAAGCUCCUGGAUGGAGACGAGGAGCCGGUAUCAGGCACAAUAAUUUUUAGCCCACGACGCCUUGCUAAGCCACACCCUCAAGGGAAUUCAGCAGUGACAAAUAUUAAGCUAUGAGUGAAAACUUGACUUAGUUAAUGUUUACAGGGUCGGUAAAUCUCGUGCCAGCCACCGCGGUUAUACGAGAGACUCAAGUUGAUUGCUACCGGCGUAAAGAGUGGUUAAGGGAAUAAUAAAACUAAAGCUAAACGACCUCAAAGCUGUUAUACGCACAUGAACGUAUGAAGCCCAACUACGAAAGUGACUUUAAAAUUCUGACUCCACGAAAGCUACGACACAAACUGGGAUUAGAUACCCCACUAUGCCUAGCCCUAAACAUCGAUACUAACCUACUUAUUUUAUCCGCCAGGGUACUACGAGCAUCAGCUUAAAACCCAAAGGACUUGGCGGUGCUUUAGAUCCACCUAGAGGAGCCUGUUCUAGAACCGAUAAUCCCCGUUAAACCUCACCUUUUCUUGCCAUAUCCGCCUAUAUACCGCCGUCGUCAGCUUACUCUGUGAGGAACUUGUAGUAAGCACAACCGGCACAGCCCAAAACGUCAGGUCGAGGUGUAGCGAAUGGAAAGGGAAGAAAUGGGCUACAUUCAAUAAUUAUAAUGAAUACGAAUGGUGUCUUGAAAAAGACAUCUGAAGGAGGAUUUAGCAGUAAGCAGGGAAUAGAGUGCCCUGCUGAAAUUGGCCCUGAAGCGCGUACACACCGCCCGUCACUCUCCCCGAGCUAAUAAAGACAAAUUACUAAUAAGCAAAAUCUGCAAAGGGGAGGCAAGUCGUACA
RNAcentral lists this non-coding RNA (914 nucleotides) under Macropharyngodon geoffroy (Geoffroy's wrasse). RNAcentral describes it as "partial 12S ribosomal RNA". It matches the Rfam family "Bacterial small subunit ribosomal RNA". The record is from RNAcentral. Lineage: Eukaryota; Metazoa; Chordata; Actinopteri; Labriformes; Labridae.